Molecule: non-coding RNA, 105 nt
Filed under: actinobacterium acAMD-5
Lineage: Bacteria; Bacillati; Actinomycetota; Actinomycetes
Description: Actinobacterium acAMD-5 SAM-IV sequence
Rfam family: SAM (S-adenosyl methionine) riboswitch aptamer
About the family: SAM-IV is a mRNA element that regulates gene expression via direct sensing of S-adenosylmethionine (SAM or AdoMet). SAM-IV riboswitches share conserved nucleotide positions with the previously described SAM-I riboswitches sequence analysis and molecular recognition experiments suggest that SAM-I and SAM-IV riboswitches share similar ligand binding sites, but have different scaffolds.
Source: RNAcentral
GGUCAAGAGAACUGGCGUUAAGUCCCAACUAGCCAGACGACAACCCUCCACCGCGGUGGGGUGUCUUGGGAAAAGACCGGGCCGAAAAAUCGGCAAGCGCGGGCU